RNAcentral lists this ribosomal RNA (482 nucleotides) under uncultured bacterium. Its description in RNAcentral is "partial 16S ribosomal RNA". It matches the Rfam family "Bacterial small subunit ribosomal RNA", at positions 30 to 507 of the family's 1533-position model. The record is from RNAcentral.
AUUGAACGCUGGCGGCAUGCUUUACACAUGCAAGUCGAACGGUAACAGGCCGCAAGGUGCUGACGAGUGGCGAACGGGUGAGUAAUGCAUCGGAACGUGCCCAGUCGUGGGGGAUAACUACUCGAAAGAGUAGCUAAUACCGCAUACGAUCUAUGGAUGAAAGCGGGGGACCGUAAGGCCUCGCGCGAUUGGGGCGGCCGAUGUCAGAUUAGGUAGUUGGUGGGGUAAAGGCUCACCAAGCCAACGAUCUGUAGCUGGUCUGAGAGGACGACCAGCCACACUGGGACUGAGACACGGCCCAGACUCCUACGGGAGGCAGCAGUGGGGAAUUUUGGACAAUGGGCGCAAGCCUGAUCCAGCAAUGCCGCGUGCAGGAAGGAGGCCUUCGGGUUGUAAACUGCUUUUGUACGGAACGAAACGGCUCUGGUUAAUACCCGGGGCUAAUGACGGUACCGUAAGAAUAAGCACCGGCUAACUACGUG